AACGAACGCUGGCGGCAGGCCUAACACAUGCAAGUCGAGCGAGGACUUCGGUUCUAGCGGCGGACGGGUGAGUAACGCGUGGGACUGUGCCCUUCUCUACGGAAUAGCCCUGGGAAACUGGGAGUAAUACCGUAUACGCCCUAUUGGGGAAAGAUUUAUCGUAGAAGGAUCAGCCCGCGUUGGAUUAGGUAGUUGGUGGGGUAAUGGCCUACCAAGCCGACGAUCCAUAGCUGGUUUGAGAGGAUGAUCAGCCACACUGGGACUGAGACACGGCCCAGACUCCUACGGGAGGCAGCAGUGGGGAAUCUUAGACAAUGGGGGCAACCCUGAUCGAGCCAGGCCGGGUGAGUGAUGAAGGCCUUAGGGUAGUAAAGCUCUUUCAGCUGGGAAGAUAAUGACGGUACCAGCAGAAGAAGCCCCGGCUAACUCCGUG
Molecule: ribosomal RNA, 433 nt
Filed under: uncultured bacterium
Lineage: Bacteria
Description: partial 16S ribosomal RNA
Rfam family: Bacterial small subunit ribosomal RNA
Source: RNAcentral